CAUGUGUGUGUGUGUGUGUGUGUGUAUAGAUAUAUCUAUCUAUCUAUGUCUAUACAUACACACACACACACACACACACACACACACACAUAAAC
MicroRNA precursor from Myotis lucifugus (little brown bat), 95 nucleotides. The record is from Ensembl. NCBI's taxonomy places the organism in Eukaryota, Metazoa, Chordata, Mammalia, Chiroptera, Vespertilionidae.